This 311-nucleotide ribosomal RNA is filed under the name Erotylidae sp. D0284. RNAcentral describes it as "partial 16S ribosomal RNA". The stretch from base 176 to 311 matches the Rfam family "Bacterial large subunit ribosomal RNA", at positions 2473 to 2608 of the family's 2925-position model. Lineage: Eukaryota; Metazoa; Arthropoda; Insecta; Coleoptera; Erotylidae. The record is from RNAcentral.
GACCCUAUAGAGUUUGAUUUAUUUUAUUAAUUAUUUUUUUAGAAUUAAUAUUUUAUUUAAUAAUAUAAAUUUAAUUGGGGUGAUUGAAAAAUUAAAUAAACUUUUUCUUUUUUAGAACAUAAAUUUAUGAAUAUUUGAUCCAUUAAUUAUGAUUAAAAGAUUAAAUUACCUUAGGGAUAACAGCGUAAUUUUUUUUGAGAGUUCAAAUCGAAAAAAAAGAUUGCGACCUCGAUGUUGGAUUAAAAUUAAUUUUUGGUGUAGAAGCUAAAAAAAUUAGGUCUGUUCGACCUUUAAAUUUUUACAUGAUCUGA